AACGAACGCUGGCGGCGUGCCUAACACAUGCAAGUCGAACGAGAAAGGGGCUUCGGCUCCGAGUAAAGUGGCGCACGGGUGAGUAACACGUAGGUAACCUGCCUCUAAGAUUGGGAUAACUUGUCGAAAGAUGAGCUAAUACCAAAUAAGACCACGGUUUCCUCGGGACAGGGUCAAAGGUAGCCUCUAUUUAUAAGCUAUCACCAGAGGAUGAGUCCGCGCACCACUAGCUAGUUGGC
This 239-nucleotide ribosomal RNA is filed under the name uncultured bacterium. RNAcentral's name for it is "partial 16S ribosomal RNA". It matches the Rfam family "Bacterial small subunit ribosomal RNA", at positions 29 to 253 of the family's 1533-position model. The record is from RNAcentral.